Molecule: transfer RNA, 68 nt
Filed under: Ictidomys tridecemlineatus (thirteen-lined ground squirrel)
Lineage: Eukaryota; Metazoa; Chordata; Mammalia; Rodentia; Sciuridae
Description: Spermophilus tridecemlineatus (thirteen-lined ground squirrel) tRNA
Rfam family: tRNA
About the family: Transfer RNA (tRNA) molecules are approximately 80 nucleotides in length. Their secondary structure includes four short double-helical elements and three loops (D, anti-codon, and T loops).
Source: Rfam by way of RNAcentral
GGGGAUGUAGCUCAGUUGGUAGAGUGUUGCCUUGCACACAGCCCUGGGUUUGAUCCCCAGCACCAUCA